GCAAAUAUAGUUUAACAAAAAUAUUAGAUUGUGAAUGUAAACAUAGAAGUUCAAAUCUUCUUAUAUGCU
Monodelphis domestica (gray short-tailed opossum) is the source of this 69-nucleotide transfer RNA. It matches the Rfam family "tRNA". Rfam says of the family: Transfer RNA (tRNA) molecules are approximately 80 nucleotides in length. Their secondary structure includes four short double-helical elements and three loops (D, anti-codon, and T loops). The record is from Rfam. NCBI's taxonomy places the organism in Eukaryota, Metazoa, Chordata, Mammalia, Didelphimorphia, Didelphidae.